Molecule: ribosomal RNA, 709 nt
Filed under: uncultured bacterium
Lineage: Bacteria
Description: bacterial SSU rRNA
Rfam family: Bacterial small subunit ribosomal RNA
Source: RNAcentral
GUCAGGAGAACGGAUCCUUCGGGAUACUAUUAAACUGGCGAACGGGUGAGUAACACGUAGGCAACUUGCCUUGGAGAUUGGGAUAACCCCGGGAAACCGGGACUAAUACCAAAUAAUGCAGCGUAUCCUUCGGGAUAUGUUGUUAAAGUGGGCUUCGGCUCACACUUCAAGAUGGGCCUGCGUCCGAUUAGCUUGUUGGUGAGGUAAUGGCUCACCAAGGCGAUGAUCGGUAGCUGGUCUGAGAGGAUGAUCAGCCACACUGGGAUUGAGACACGGUCCAGACUCCUACGGGAGGCAGCAGUGGGGAAUAUUGCACAAUGGAGGAAACUCUGAUGCAGCAAUGUCGCGUGAGUGAAGAAGGCCCUUGGGUCGUAAAGCUCUUUUAUGGGGGAAGAUGAUGACGGUACCCCAAGAAUAAGCACCGGCUAACUACGUGCCAGCAGCCGCGGUAAUACGUAGGGUGCGAGCGUUGUUCGGAAUUACUGGGCGUAAAGGGCGCGCAGGCGGAAUAGCAAGUCGGAGGUGAAAGCCCGGGGCUCAACCCCGGAGGGUCUUUCGAAACUGCUAAUCUAGAGAGGGUCAGGGGCCAGCAGAAUUCUUGGUGUGGAGGUGAAAUUCGUAGAUAUCAAGAGGAAUACCGGUGGCGAAGGCGGCUGGCUGGGGCCACUCUGACGCUGAGGCGCGAAAGCGUGGGGAGCAAACAGGAUUA